Long non-coding RNA from Ipomoea nil (Japanese morning glory), 1006 nucleotides. RefSeq lists it as uncharacterized. Lineage: Eukaryota; Viridiplantae; Streptophyta; Magnoliopsida; Solanales; Convolvulaceae. The record is from RefSeq and is a predicted model, not a curated record. The transcript has 2 exons.
AUAGGAAAAUGGGAAUUGAAUCACGGUGAGAGUUAUUCAAUAGCUAAAUUAAAAUAAAGACUUCUAAUAUUUGAAUUUCUAAUAUUCAAUAGCUAAAUUAAAAUAAAGACUUCUAAUAUUUGAAUUUCUAAUAAUGUAACAUCCGCACAAUAUUAUCCUCUAAAACUUUGAAUUCCAACAGCAUCCUUUUUGCGCGACACUGAGCAAUAUCAAUGGUCUCUCCCACCCUUGCUGGGAUGCUCAAGAUUAAUACCUUAUGAGUUGGUCCCAGAAUUGAAUUUGCUUAUAUUUCCUGGUAUAGCCAAGCAACUUAGAAUUGAACUUGACCCAUUCAUUAGUAGCAGAAUCUGUUAUAAAUUAUGGCUACUCAGCAAAAAGGAGAAGAUGAUCAACAAGCAAUACAUGUAGAGAUGCAAGGGACAGGCUCAUCUAAUGGUAGCUGGGUGGGAAGGAUCCAAGAACAGUAUAUCAAGAUCAAAGAGAAUGCAGAAACUUACCCUUAUGUCUGGGGUUCGUAUAUUGUUGUGUACGGAGGAUUUGGCCUCUGGUUUGCCUACAGAUGGAGAAAACUCCACAAAACUGAAGAUAGAGUCCGAGUUCUUCAAGAGCAGCUCCGCAAGCUCGUGGACUCUCAAGAGCCUGGAAGCUCAUCUGGUGCUGCCACUAGCAGAUCACGGCCACCACAUGAUAAACCCACUGAUUAGAUGGUUUAUCAGUUUCUAUACCCUUUCGAAUUGCAUUAUUUUUCGUCUUUCCCUGACUUUUUUCUGAAGUAGAUCUCCACAUUGAAAGUAGAGUCACAACUUAAUCUUGAAAAUGUCAGGUCAGCUGUUAAGCUGCAUUUCUUGCAUGUUUUGUAAGCCUAAUGUCACAGCACAUAAACAGAGUUUGCAGAAGGAAGCUUGAAUUUCCUUCUGUUAUAGGCUUCUUAUUCCUUGUAUUGUAUUUAAACUGCAUUAUACUUGCAACCUCUUUAAAGAAAUGCACUAUAUUUUUUUUGUGAUUU